RNAcentral lists this ribosomal RNA (253 nucleotides) under uncultured bacterium. RNAcentral describes it as "partial 16S ribosomal RNA". It matches the Rfam family "Bacterial small subunit ribosomal RNA", at positions 524 to 776 of the family's 1533-position model. The record is from RNAcentral.
UACGUAGGGGGCAAGCGUUGUCCGGAUUUAUUGGGCGUAAAGAGCGUGUAGGCGGCCAGGUAGGUCUGCUGUGAAAACUCGAGGCUCAACCUCGAGACGCCGGCGGAAACCAUCUGGCUAGAGUCCGGAAGAGGAGAGUGGAAUUCCUGGUGUAGCGGUGAAAUGCGCAGAUAUCAGGAAGAACACCCGUGGCGAAGGCGGCUCGCUGGGACGGUACUGACGCUGAGACGCGAAAGCGUGGGGAGCGAACAGG